AUGUCCAAGGACUAGCCAUGCACGUCUAAGUACAAACUAAAUGAUGGUGAAACUGCAAAUGGCUCAUUACAACGGUUAUGAUGUACCCGGGAGUUCCGAUGGAUAUUUCCAGUAACACUAGAACUAAUACAUGUCCCUGCGUUUAUUAGUUUCGCACAGUCCGUCGCUGAGUCAUGGUAAACAGUUGAUCGACUCGACGUCCCGGAACAGUUUCCGCCCCAUCAGCUUCGAUGGUUGGGUAUUGGCCUACCAUUGCAACAACGGGUAACGAGGAAUUAGGGUUUGAUUUCGGAGAGGGAGCCUGAGAAACGGCUACCACAUCUACGGAUGGCAGCAGGCGCGCAAAUUACCCAAUGCAGACACUGUGAGGUAGUGACGAGAAAUAAUAAAGCGGGACUUCUGUUUCGCUAUUAUAAUGAGGAAUAACCAAAGGUCAUUCCGAUUAGCAACUGAUGGGAAAGUCUGGUGCCAGCAGCCGCGGUAAUACCAGCGUCAGUAGC
Molecule: ribosomal RNA, 500 nt
Filed under: uncultured Myrionecta
Lineage: Eukaryota; Ciliophora; Litostomatea; Cyclotrichida; Mesodiniidae
Description: SSU rRNA
Rfam family: Eukaryotic small subunit ribosomal RNA
Source: RNAcentral